GAUGAACGCUGGCGGCGUGCCUAAUACAUGCAAGUCGAGCGAACGGACGAGAAGCUUGCUUCUCUGAUGUUAGCGGCGGACGGGUGAGUAACACGUGGAUAACCUACCUAUAAGACUGGGAUAACUUCGGGAAACCGGAGCUAAUACCGGAUAAUAUUUUGAACCGCAUGGUUCAAAAGUGAAAGACGGUCUUGCUGUCACUUAUAGAUGGAUCCGCGCUGCAUUAGAUAGUUGGUAAGGUAACGGCUUACCAAGGCAACGAUGCAUAGCCGACCUGAGAGGGUGAUCGGCCACACUGGAACUGAGACACGGUCCAGAGUCCUACGGGAGGCAGCAGUAGGGAAUCUUCCGCAAUGGGCGAAAGCCUGACGGAGCAACGCCGCGUGAGUGAUGAAGGUCUUCGGAUCGUAAAACUCUGUUAUUAGGGAAGAACAUAUGUGUAAGUAACUGUGCACAUAUUGACGGUACCUAAUCAGAAAGCCACGGCUAACUACGUG
RNAcentral lists this ribosomal RNA (497 nucleotides) under uncultured bacterium. Its description in RNAcentral is "partial 16S ribosomal RNA". It matches the Rfam family "Bacterial small subunit ribosomal RNA", at positions 28 to 507 of the family's 1533-position model. The record is from RNAcentral.